AUGCUUGAAGUGCUAAGGAUAGAAAAUUGCCCCAAGCUUGCAAGUAUUCUAGUGAUCCCCAUUGUCAGGGAUAUGAGUAUAGUUGGAGUUCACGGUACAACAGUCAAUUUCAUUUUUAUGUGCAUCCGUUUGGGCUCUUGGCCAUUUCUCGUAGCUUUAACUAUGGAGUCUAAGGAAGACAUGGCCAUGUUGCUUCUAGACGCCCAGCAAAUCCAAAGUGAAAGACCUCUUGAAAAACUAGAGUAUUUGGCUCUGCGAGGUCCUAGCAGCUUGGACACAAGGUCUGGAUUGUCUAGAUCACGCCUUAUGCCUUGGAAAUGCUUUCGGUUUGUGGAAACGUUGAUGAUUCGCGGGUGCAACAAUCUUGUUCGUUGGCCAUCAGACGAGCUCGGGUGCUUUGAUCGCCUCUGCGUUUUGCGUAUUGAAGAUUGUGACAUCCAGGAGGGGGACAUUUCAUCGUCUGAGGGGACACUUCCGCUGUCCCUGGAGGAAUUGGAUAUUUCGUUCUGCAAACAUCUGGUCAAGUUGCCUUGGAACCUUGGAAAUCUGGCCAACCGGAUAAGUCUCUAUGUGGGUUCGUGUAGUGCCCUGAAAGCGCUGCCUGAUGGGAUGUGUGGCCUCACUUCUCUUAGGGAAUUGAUGAUAUGA
RNAcentral lists this ribosomal RNA (648 nucleotides) under Triticum aestivum (bread wheat). RNAcentral's name for it is "partial small subunit ribosomal RNA". The record is from RNAcentral. Lineage: Eukaryota; Viridiplantae; Streptophyta; Magnoliopsida; Poales; Poaceae.